GAUGAAGAACGUAGCGAAAUGCGAUACGUAAUGUGAAUUGCAGAUUUCAGUGAAUCAUCGAAUCUUUGAACGCACAUUGCGCCCGCCAGUAUUCUGGCGGGCAUGCCUGUUCGAGCGUCAUUUCAACCAUCAAGCCUUCGCUUGUGUUGGGGCCCCGCGGCUGCCGCGGUCCCCUAAAUCCAGUGGCGGGCUCGUCGUCGUACCGAGCGCAGUAGACAUCCUCGCUCCGGGAACCCGACGGGUGCCGGCCGUGAAACCCCCCACAUCAAGGUUGACCUCGGAUCAGGUAGGAAUACCCGCUGAACUCAAGCAUAUCAAUAAGCGGAGGA
This 329-nucleotide unclassified non-coding RNA is filed under the name soil metagenome. Its description in RNAcentral is "partial contains 5.8S ribosomal RNA, internal transcribed spacer 2, and large subunit ribosomal RNA". The stretch from base 1 to 120 matches the Rfam family "5.8S ribosomal RNA", at positions 35 to 154 of the family's 154-position model. The record is from RNAcentral.